Long non-coding RNA from Hippopotamus amphibius kiboko, 150 nucleotides. RefSeq lists it as uncharacterized. Lineage: Eukaryota; Metazoa; Chordata; Mammalia; Artiodactyla; Hippopotamidae. The transcript has 3 exons. The record is from RefSeq and is a predicted model, not a curated record.
UUGGAUUACCCCAGCUGGGCAGUGCUUUGCUCCUGAAUGGAUUCCCCUUGGGUUAAGUUCUGGAAGCUGGCAAGUCCAAGAUCGAGGUGUUGGCAGAUUCAGUGUCUGUUGUCAAACCUCCAGCAUAUGAGGACCAGUAUACCAGCUGAG